RNAcentral lists this ribosomal RNA (711 nucleotides) under Hydnellum earlianum. RNAcentral describes it as "eukaryotic LSU rRNA". The stretch from base 273 to 426 matches the Rfam family "5.8S ribosomal RNA". Lineage: Eukaryota; Fungi; Basidiomycota; Agaricomycetes; Thelephorales; Thelephoraceae. The record is from RNAcentral.
UCUUGGUCAUUUAGAGGAAGUAAAAGUCGUAACAAGGUUUCCGUAGGUGAACCUGCGGAAGGAUCAUUAAUGAGAUUAGCAUCUGGACAAAGGUUGUUGCUGGCUACUUGCAUGUGCACGCCUUGACCCAGAUGUUAUUUGUCCUCUUUACACCUGUGCACCAUCUGUAGUUGGGGGAUGAUCACGAGAUUGUCGAAUGCCCCUUGCUACGAAUUUGUUUACAUUGCCCUAAUAUAAAAAGUUUUUUGGAAUGUUUGUGGAAUUGGAAAUACAACUUUCAGCAACGGAUCUCUUGGCUCUCGCAUCGAUGAAGAACGCAGCGAAAUGCGAUAAGUAAUGUGAAUUGCAGAAUUCAGUGAAUCAUCGAAUCUUUGAACGCACCUUGCGCUCCUUGGUAUUCCGAGGAGCAUACCUGUUUGAGUGUCAUGGAAAUUCUCAACUGCUUUGGCUUUGUUGUCUAAAGUGAAGUUGGAUAUGGAGUUUUGUUGUCGGCUUUGGUUCGGCUGUUCCAAAAAGCAUUGAAGCUUUUUCUUAUAUCUUGGCAGAAAGUAUCUUUGACGUGAUAAUUGUCUACGUCGUAGAGAAAAGCCUUGGAAACUUAGUCUAUUCUAAGAAAAUGAGAAAAAGCUUCUACAACCUUUUUAUGAUCUAUUCGACCUCAAAUCAGGUAGGACUACCCGCUGAACUUAAGCAUAUCAAUAAGCGGAGGAA